UAGGCACCACAGGAUGACGAAUCCCAACCCAAUGUGACGUUACCAAACUGUUGCCUCGGCGGGGUCACGCCCCGGGUGCGUCCCAGCCCCGGAACCAGGCGCCCGCCGGAGGGACAGGCUGACGCUAUCUGUCCUCUGCAUUUGGACGUAUUUCUUACAGCUAUGAGCCAAAUUCCCAAUGAAUAUCCCCUUGCGGCAACCGAUCUCUUGGUUCUGGCAUCGAUGAAGAACGCACCGAAAUGUGAUAAGUAAUGUGAAUUGAAAAAUUCAGUGAAUCAUCGAAUCUUUGAACUCAGUUUGCGCCCGCCUGUAUUCUGGCGCGCCUGCCAGGCCAAACUCAUUUCAACCCUUGAACCCCUUCGGGGGAUCUGCGGUCGGAUCUGACCCUCCAUAGAGGUGCCGGCCCCAAAAUAAAGUGGCGGUCUCUUCGCAUCCUCUCCUGCGCGCUUCUUGAGCUCCUCGCACCGGGAGCGCGGCGAGUUCACUUCUGUAUAACACCCAACUUUUGGAGUGUCGACUACCGGAUCAGGUAUGAAUACCCGCUGAAAUUAUGCAUAUCAAUAAGCGGAGGAGA
Molecule: ribosomal RNA, 574 nt
Filed under: Trichoderma sp. F020
Lineage: Eukaryota; Fungi; Ascomycota; Sordariomycetes; Hypocreales; Hypocreaceae
Description: eukaryotic LSU rRNA
Rfam family: 5.8S ribosomal RNA (bases 188-341)
Source: RNAcentral